UACGGAGGGGGCUAGCGUUGUUCGGAAUUACUGGGCGUAAAGCGCGCGUAGGCGGACCUGCAAGUCGGGGGUGAAAGCCCGAGGCUCAACCUCGGAACUGCCUUCGAUACUGCGGGUCUCGAGUCCGGGAGAGGUGAGUGGAAUUCCUAGUGUAGAGGUGAAAUACGUAGAUAUUAGGAAGAACACCCGUGGCGAAGGCGGCUCUCUGGGACGGUACUGACGCUGAGACGCGAAAGCGUGGGGAGCGAGCAGG
RNAcentral lists this ribosomal RNA (253 nucleotides) under uncultured bacterium. RNAcentral's name for it is "partial 16S ribosomal RNA". It matches the Rfam family "Bacterial small subunit ribosomal RNA", at positions 524 to 776 of the family's 1533-position model. The record is from RNAcentral.